GGACUGAUAAUCCAAAUAGCUCUCCUGCCUGCCCGUGGGCUACAUCCUGUUGGCUCGGAUUGGCCUGGGAGGCUCCCUGUCCCCCCGAAGUUAUUCUGGGCUCAGGCUACUGUUCAAACAAAUAUAGUGGGUGUUUUUUGAGCUCACAUUAAGUUAUGUAGAGAGGCAGCCUAAGGCAGGGAGAGGACAGCUGAGAGGAGGGAGGGAGCACCUACCAAGGGAAAGGCGGGACAGCUUGGGAAAUAGGGUUUAUUCAGCUCCUUUCUGUGUUGAGGUUCCAUUUGACAGAUGAGGAAACUGAGGCCUCCAAAGUUGGGAUAAAAACAGGAUGGAGGUUUGGGGAGAGGGACUGGGCAAGAGUCUGCAUGCAGUGGAUUAUCAUAUGUGCUGUUUCCCUUCUCAGACUACGACUCUGUUCGUGUUGUGGGACUUACUCUGGCUACCAUCAUGUUUGUUCUGGGCAUUGUCAUUAUUGUCAGCAAGAAGGUGAAGUGUAGGAAGUCAGACUCCAGGUCAGAAGGGUUUGGGGGGAUCGGGGAUGAGGGUGGGCUUCCUCUAUUUCCCCUGAGUCCCUCUACCCAGCUUGCACCCUCCCUCUACCCCGUUUCCACCUCUGUCCUUGUCUCUUUCUGCCUCUGUCUCUCUGAUCUUCUCCAUCUCCUUGUGUCUUUCUGCCCCACCUUCCUUAGCCAUCUCUGCCUUGUCCCAGGUCUCCCUCUGUCUCUGUGCAUCUGCCCCUGUCGGUCUCCCUGUCUCUGUCUCCCUGUCUCUGUCUCCUUGUCUCUGUCUCCCUGUCUGUUUCUCUGUCUCUGUCUCUCCAUCUCUGUCUCCCUGUCUCUGUCUCUCUGUCUCUGUUUCCCUGUCUCUGUCUCUGUUUCCCUGUCUCUGUUUCUCUGUCUCUGUCUCUCUGUCUCUGUUUCACUGUCUCUGUCUCUGUCUCUCCUUCUGUCUCCCUGUCUCUGUCUCUCUCUCUCUGUCUCUCUGUCUCUCUCUCUCUGUCUCUCUGUCUCUGUCUCUGUCUCUCUGUCUCUCUUUCCCCAUUUGUGUCUCUCUGUCUCUGUCUUCCUGUCUCUGCUCCCCGUCUCUGUCUCCCUGUCUCUGUCUCUCUCUUGGUCUCCUUACGGUCUCUUA
This 1131-nucleotide long non-coding RNA is filed under the name Sarcophilus harrisii (Tasmanian devil). Its description in RNAcentral is "lncRNA (ENSSHAG00000030715.1)". Lineage: Eukaryota; Metazoa; Chordata; Mammalia; Dasyuromorphia; Dasyuridae. The record is from RNAcentral.